GAGACAUCCAAGAUCAACUACUCUAGAUUGAUUGAAACUAGAAACUGAUUUAGAGUUUGUAAACCUAAAGUGAUUGAAAACCCACUUUACAGAAGUACAGGAAAAAAAAUUCAACUCUUAGAAGAAGAAGAUUGAAUUCGUGGAAUCAAUUUCCUAGGAGUUCUAUAAGAAGAAGAUUGAAGUACAAAUAUUUGAAGAUUCAGGAAUGGAUCAUAUACUGUAAGAAGCUUAAGUUCUUGGAAUGACUCUUAGGAUCCCAUAUGCUUGGACAGUCUCGAGGAAGCAGAAGCUCAGUUU
This is a long non-coding RNA of Papaver somniferum (opium poppy), 297 nucleotides long. RefSeq lists it as uncharacterized. Lineage: Eukaryota; Viridiplantae; Streptophyta; Magnoliopsida; Ranunculales; Papaveraceae. The transcript is spliced from 4 exons. The record is from RefSeq and is a predicted model, not a curated record.